CUCUGAGCCACCGCUCAGCAAGAGGCCUGGGGGUUUACAGGAUCAGAGCUGCUUACCUGCUGAUCCAGAUUAAAAGCCGGGGCUAGAGCCAAAAUGAACUGUGAUUCUUACCACGCAACAACAGGGAGAGCUUGUUCCUGCACUUCCUUUGCUGACUACUCUGGGGAUACAAGUGGAGGCUGUGCCAGACCUCCUGCAUCUGACGGCCAUUCUGGAACAAUUGGAGUGAAAGACACCCUCUCACAUCAUCCCUUGGCACACACUCUUGGAAGAAGAAAAAAGCCACGGAGUAGAAACUUUGAUGAAUAAAUGAGCAGUACUCCUCCUCACAACCUCUCCUUUCUCUGAAUUCAGUGGGGAUUUUGAAGC
Mus caroli (Ryukyu mouse) is the source of this 369-nucleotide long non-coding RNA. RefSeq lists it as uncharacterized. NCBI's taxonomy places the organism in Eukaryota, Metazoa, Chordata, Mammalia, Rodentia, Muridae. The record is from RefSeq and is a predicted model, not a curated record.